GAUGAACGCUGGCGGCGUGCCUAAUACAUGCAAGUCGAGCGAACGGACGAGAAGCUUGCUUCUCUGAUGUUAGCGGCGGACGGGUGAGUAACACGUGGAUAACCUACCUAUAAGACUGGGAUAACUUCGGGAAACCGGAGCUAAUACCGGAUAAUAUUUUGAACCGCAUGGUUCAAAAGUGAAAGACGGUCUUGCUGUCACUUAUAGAUGGAUCCGCGCUGCAUUAGCUAGUUGGUAAGGUAACGGCUUACCAAGGCAACGAUGCAUAGCCGACCUGAGAGGGUGAUCGGCCACACUGGAACUGAGACACGGUCCAGACUCCUACGGGAGGCAGCAGUAGGGAAUCUUCCGCAAUGGGCGAAAGCCUGACGGAGCAACGCCGCGUGAGUGAUGAAGGUCUUCGGAUCGUAAAACUCUGUUAUUAGGGAAGAACAUAUGUGUAAGUAACUGUGCACAUCUUGACGGUACCUAAUCAGAAAGCCACGGCUAACUACGUGCCAGCAGCCGCGGUAAUACGUAGGUGGCAAGCGUUAUCCGGAAUUAUUGGGCGUAAAGCGCGCGUAGGCGGUUUUUUAAGUCUGAUGUGAAAGCCCACGGCUCAACCGUGGAGGGUCAUUGGAAACUGGAAAACUUGAGUGCAGAAGAGGAAAGUGGAAUUCCAUGUGUAGCGGUGAAAUGCGCAGAGAUAUGGAGGAACACCAGUGGCGAAGGCGACUUUCUGGUCUGUAACUGACGCUGAUGUGCGAAAGCGUGGGGAUCAAACAGGAUUAGAUACCCUGGUAGUCCACGCCGUAAACGAUGAGUGCUAAGUGUUAGGGGGUUUCCGCCCCUUAGUGCUGCAGCUAACGCAUUAAGCACUCCGCCUGGGGAGUACGACCGCAAGGUUGAAACUCAAAGGAAUUGACGGGGACCCGCACAAGCGGUGGAGCAUGUGGUUUAAUUCGAAGCAACGCGAAGAACCUUACCAAAUCUUGACAUCCUUUGACAACUCUAGAGAUAGAGCCUUCCCCUUCGGGGGGCAAAGUGACAGGUGGUGCAUGGUUGUCGUCAGCUCGUGUCGUGAGAUGUUGGGUUAAGUCCCGCAACGAGCGCAACCCUUAAGCUUAGUUGCCAUCAUUAAGUUGGGCACUCUAAGUUGACUGCCGGUGACAAACCGGAGGAAUGUGGGGAUGACGUCAAAUCAUCAUGCCCCUUAUGAUUUGGGCUACACACGUGCUACAAUGGACAAUACAAAGGGCAGCGAAACCGCGAGGUCAAGCAAAUCCCAUAAAGUUGUUCUCAGUUCGGAUUGUAGUCUGCAACUCGACUACAUGAAGCUGGAAUCGCUAGUAAUCGUAGAUCAGCAUGCUACGGUGAAUACGUUCCCGGGUCU
This 1372-nucleotide ribosomal RNA is filed under the name uncultured bacterium. RNAcentral's name for it is "bacterial SSU rRNA". It matches the Rfam family "Bacterial small subunit ribosomal RNA", at positions 28 to 1381 of the family's 1533-position model. The record is from RNAcentral.